CCUACGGGGGGCUGCAGUGGGGAAUCUUGCGCAAUGCGCGAAAGCGUGACGCAGCAACGCCGCGUGGGGGAAGAAGGCCUUCGGGUUGUAAACCCCUUUCAGUUGGGACGAAGCUUCGCCGGUGAAUAGCCGGCUGGAGUGACGGUACCUUCAGAAGAAGCCCCGGCUAACUACGUGCCAGCAGCCGCGGUAAUACGUAGGGGGCAAGCGUUGUCCGGAAUCAUUGGGCGUAAAGAGCGUGUAGGCGGCUCGGUAAGUCCGCUGUGAAAGUCCAGGGCUCAACCCUGGAAAGCCGGUGGAAACUGUUGAGCUAGAGUCCGGAAGAGGCGAGUGGAAUUCCUGGUGUAGCGGUGAAAUGCGCAGAUAUCAGGAGGAACACCAAUGGCGAAGGCAGCUCGCUGGGACGGUACUGACGCUGAGACGCGAAAGCGUGGGGAGCA
Molecule: ribosomal RNA, 440 nt
Filed under: uncultured bacterium
Lineage: Bacteria
Description: bacterial SSU rRNA
Rfam family: Bacterial small subunit ribosomal RNA
Source: RNAcentral